This is a non-coding RNA of Acanthosepion pharaonis, 101 nucleotides long. The record is from the annotation of a GenBank genome assembly. Lineage: Eukaryota; Metazoa; Mollusca; Cephalopoda; Sepiida; Sepiidae.
ACAUUGAAACACCGGAUCCCGUAAGAUCGCCAAAGUUAAGCAACGUCGAGCCUGUUCAGUACUUUUGAUGGGUGACCUCUUGGGAAUACCAGGUGAUGUAA